This 369-nucleotide long non-coding RNA is filed under the name Rattus norvegicus (Norway rat). Its description in RNAcentral is "long non-coding RNA NONRATT010270". The record is from RNAcentral. Lineage: Eukaryota; Metazoa; Chordata; Mammalia; Rodentia; Muridae.
GACCCCUGAUAAUUACAGAAAGAGUAUCCAGUUUCAUCACAAGCAUGACUUUAAAAAUGCUAUACAGAUAAAAGGUAAUGACUUGCGUUUGUGAUAUGGUGUGGUUGCUGGAAUAAAGCACAAGCACUCGUGGCUUUUCACCAUCAGUCCCAGGCAAAUAUCUCUGGUAUUAAACAAAUACAGUCUAUUUCCCACGAUCAUGCCAUUUGGAGUAUAUUACAUCUUCAAUAUGAAGUUAACAUAUUCUGCUUGAAAUGUCUUGAUUGCAUUACAUAUUCCAAAAACUCCAACCACUGCAAUAAAACUGCUACCUCAAGAAUAAUGUGACAUGAUGAUGUGACAUUUAUAUUAAAUGUGAUUUUCACCUAU